This is a long non-coding RNA of Callithrix jacchus (white-tufted-ear marmoset), 3561 nucleotides long. RefSeq lists it as uncharacterized. The record is from RefSeq and is a predicted model, not a curated record. Lineage: Eukaryota; Metazoa; Chordata; Mammalia; Primates; Cebidae.
UACCGGUUGCCAACAAAUUAUAUUUGGAACUGCAUUCAAAUUUAAGACCUUAACUCUUACCUAUGACUUUUCCCUGGCAUUAAUUAAGCCCUAUGGAUCUUUAAAAAUCAGGGCUUUUGGCUAAAAGGCCAGCAUUUUAUUUUUUGUCUUUUUACCAUGUUAUCUUUCAUAUUGCUCUCAAUCACUUGCUUGAUCCCUUUUGAAUAAUUUUUCUCACUAGAUACACUUGAAACAGAAAAGGCACAAAAAGUGCAAUCCUUUAAAUAAUAAGAGAUUUCUUCAAAAGUUGAGCAAAAGCAGGAACAUGCUCAAAACAAAAUUGAAGGUUUUUUUGUUUUGUUUUUGUUUUUGAGACAGAGUCUUGCUGUGUCACCCAGGCUGGAGUGCAGUGUUGCAAUUUGGGCUCACCACAACCUACACCUCCCAGGUUCAAGCAAUUCUUCUGCCUCACCCUCAGCUGGGAUUACAAAAUUAGUAUGCUGAAAAUACUUUCCAACAGAUGAAAGUCAAGUAUCUUGAGGAAGAGGUGCCUUUUUCUACUUCACACAAUGGCAAUAUGUGGGCUAAUGCUAACCUGAGGGGUUAACCUAAGUCAGUGUUAGAGACUGAAUGUUUAUGUCCCUUAUACUGAUGUGAAACCUAAUUCCUAAUGAGGCAAUAUUAUAAGGUGGCACCUUUGGGGGUGAUUAGAUCAAGAGAGUGGAACCUCCAUGUUUGAGAUUAGUGCCCUUAUAAAAAAGACCCCAGAGAGAUCCCUGGCUCUUUCUGCCAUGUGAAGAAACAGUGAAAAGACAGCCAUCCAUGAAUCAAGAUGAAGGCCCUCACCAGACAUGGAAUCUACUGGAGCUGUGAUCUCGGACUUUCCAGCCUCCAGAACUGUAAAAAAUUUCUGUUACUUCUAUGCCAGUUAAUCUACAAUUUUCUGUAGUAGUAGCCUGUACUGACUUAAGAUUAUCAGAAUAAGUAGAAUAUGAUACAGGAUUUAAUAAUAAUGGAAGUGAUGGAGGAAUCAAAUGAAGAAAUUACAUUUACCUGUGAAUAUUUGCAAAGGUUUUAGUGAAAUGUGUCAUUGAGGUAGGUUUUAAAGAUGGACAGAUUUUUUUUGUCCCAGGAGUGAAUGGUAGCAUGGGAAUUCCAAGAGAAGAAUACAACCUGAAUCAACAUUUGUAAUUGGGACAGUCCUUCAAGUCAGUUGAGUGAUCUCAAACUAACCAGACAAAAAAAAAAUUUUUCAAGGUAAUUUAGAUCCAAAUGGUGGGCAUCUAGAAUUUCAAACUAAGAAGUUUUAGUUUUGGAAGUGCAUUUGAAAUUUUAAAGCCAUAUUUUCUGCCAAAAAGAGGAUUGUGCUCACAUGAAAAUAGAGACCUCAUAGACAACACAAGAGCAGAGUUCGUGUCUGUUUUCUUCACCAUUGAACUUCAGGGCUUGUUACAGCACCAAGCACAGUUUAGCACUCAUUUUCUUUUCUGUUUGGGAACUAGAAGCUGAGUUUAUGCCAUUGUCCUUAAUUAUUCUACCACAAGACACGCCUGUUGAAAUAUCUUCAGCACACACAACUAAGCCAAUGCCCAAACCAUCUCGAGUCAUUUUUGUUUGAUAUAAAACAAUUUUUGUAUCCUUUCCUCUGGUAAAACCUCUUGCCAGAUUAAAAUGCUAAGAAACAAAAUUAAUGAUAAGGAGAACAUAAUUAGAAAAAUUGUUGACAAAAGGCUAGAACAUGAGAAACUUGCUUACUAGUGUGGUUCUCAUUCUGUCACAAAGCUGUGAAUCAGAAGCAGAAAAUGGUACUCAAAGUGAGACCAAGGCAGAAAAGAAACUGCAGUUGAAUGAAAUGAGAUAUUUUAGUGAAGAGGUCCAUUUUAUUUCAGCCUCAAGAUUGCGCAUCCCUGAAUAGAAAGGGUGCUCACUCACUGGCACCCUUCCGUCUUCUGGGAAUCCUGGCAAAUCAAUGAGAGGACAAGUGUGGUGGGGCAGCAAGGAUAACUGGCUUGAAUCUCUACCUGAUGAGGACCGAAGCACUAGAUGAAACAGAUCAAGAGCACUAACUGUGAGGUCUCUAUUUAUAAAACAAUCAACAGAGAGAGAUGGUAGAGAAAGUGUCACAGUAAAUGUCAAACAAUCUGUCUUACAUCAUCAUGUAGAGACAAAUUCCAGGCUCUCUUAAGCUCCUCUCAAAUAUUUCUACAUGAGAGUACUACAUGGCCCACACAUAAGUCCCAUAUCAAACCAAGUUUAGGAUCCUUGACCACUAAAGAAUUCCCUGUUCUCCAACUCCAGUCUUCUGCAAAGGUCUCCUCUGUUGAUGGCCAAUUCCUGAUGCAGCAGCUAUGCUCCAGUGACCACAAAGGUGGCUACUGCUGCCAAUCCACACCAAAGGGACAGCCACAGCUACCUGUCCCUAGUAAUAUAUCUCUGAGCAUGCUGAUGCCAGACAUUGAUGGCAUUGUCAUCUGACCCAAGGGCACAAUCUCUUGUUAUUGCCAAUGAUUCCAGCAUAGAACCUUUCCAUUGCGUCAACUAUGAGAUUAUUGAAAUCUCAUGUUCCUGCAUCUGACAGAUUUUUAUGGGGGGAGGGGAAUAUAUCUCUGCUUAUCAUAUUUAUUUGCCUUUUUGCUGACUUUUUCACAUAGGACUCAAAUUCGAACUUAUGGUGACAUUCCAAGUGACAGACAAUGCAGUGAGUUUAGAAUCUUUUCCUUCCCAAACCAAACUUUUGAAUUUCAACUCACUUCCCUUAGGUUGAAUUAUCUCCUAGGAGGCUCCUCACUUCAUUCUGAAAUUCCUAUUGAGAUGCCUCAUCCCCUAGACAGGGCUGAUACUCAGCUGGUAUGUGCCUAGGUAGGUGUGCCAUCUGUCCACAGCUGGCACCCAUUAUGAUUGAUUGGUGUUAAAUAUUCUGGCUAGUCCCCGAUCUCCAGGUCUCCCUCAACACUAGGGUAAACACAGUGAAGGCUUACAGAAUGCUACUUUUAAAAAUAUUGAAGGAAAGUGUUUUCCAUGCCUUCAUUUCUUAAUAGUGGGGAAAAUAUAAGAUUGCUACAUCAUAUUAAAGGUAUUGACAGUCUUCCAGUGUUUGUCACUUACAGAUAAAUACACUGCGGUAUAGUUCAGAAUAUGACAAAACUGAUUCCUUCUGAUACUGAAGCAUGGCCUAAAGGUUUGGGUGGUUUGUCAGGUAAAAACUACUAAUUGUGUCUCAGCACCCACUCUCAUCUUUUUUUUUUUUUUUUUUUGGGUCACAGAAUUCCUGAAUUUUAUCUGAGCACAUAGACAACCUGGCUAGAGACCACAUUUUCCAGCCAGGAGUGGACAUGUAAUUAGAAUAGAAUGUGAGAUGGAGCUAUAUAUACUACCUGGGUCACAUCAUUUAGGAAUGAGGUUGCUUGCACUCCACGGUGCAGCCUGGGCUUGACAAAUGUGGUGCUAAUGAGCCAGCUUCAAGCUGGGAUGGUAAAGUAACAAGACAGAAAAAACCGGGUCACUGGUCACCCUCACUGUGGACCUAUUCUGGAUUGUUGAAAGAGAAAUAAACUCCCAUCUUGUAUGAGUUUGACUUGUUAA